RNAcentral lists this transfer RNA (77 nucleotides) under Chromohalobacter nigrandesensis. RNAcentral's name for it is "tRNA-Ile". It matches the Rfam family "tRNA". Rfam says of the family: Transfer RNA (tRNA) molecules are approximately 80 nucleotides in length. Their secondary structure includes four short double-helical elements and three loops (D, anti-codon, and T loops). Further hydrogen bonds mediate the characteristic L-shaped molecular structure. tRNAs have two regions of fundamental functional importance: the anti-codon, which is responsible for specific mRNA codon recognition, and the 3' end, to which the tRNAs corresponding amino acid is attached (by aminoacyl-tRNA synthetases). tRNAs cope with the degeneracy of the genetic code in two manners: having more than one tRNA (with a specific anti-codon) for a particular amino acid; and 'wobble' base-pairing, i.e. permitting non-standard base-pairing at the 3rd anti-codon position. RNAcentral also lists the same sequence under 1 other name. Lineage: Bacteria; Pseudomonadati; Pseudomonadota; Gammaproteobacteria; Oceanospirillales; Halomonadaceae. The record is from RNAcentral.
GGGCCUAUAGCUCAGUUGGUUAGAGCAGAGGACUCAUAAUCCUUUGGUCGGCGGUUCGAGUCCGCCUGGGCCCACCA